UCUCUCAGAUCAUGACACGUGUAAAAACAACAUCUAACGGUUUACAUAAUGCCACGUAGUGAUUGACUCUCCCAACUCCUCUUUCUCUCCCUAACCCAUAGAACCACCGCCAUCAGAACCCAGAGAAAGAGGGGAGACCCGUACCUGAGGAAUCUAAAUCGAGUGAUCAGUGAGGGUCGGGUGGGGAAAUCCGUACCUGAGGAACCUCGGGUCGGGGUUUUCAAGACUCUGGAGCUUAGAUUUGACGUCCUUGGCGAGGCGAUCGUAGACCAUGGCGGUCGACAGAAGAGGCCUCGACAGUGGGGUUGAGAAUGAAGGUGUGAUGACGGGUGAGGUGGAGCUGGAUCGAACGGCUUGGGUCAGCACCGGCGAGGCCUUGACCAACCGGCGGCGGGCCAGCGGUGUGAGAAGGUGCUUCACCGCCAUGGCUGUAGCUCAGAGAAGAGCCUUACCGUUUGGUGAUACAACCCAGUUUCACAGAGAAUACUCUCUCUCGCUCUUUUUACAGCUAUGUUGUAACCAGCUGAAUGCGAGCUUACCUACACAGAUACAACUCUGCUCUCUAGGAGCUAGAAUAAUGAAAGCCCUGCUUUGAAGAGGUUAAGUGUUCUUGCUUUGCAGUAUAACAGAAUAACUGGUCAGAUUCCUACAAGCUUGGGGAACUUGGAAGAGUGAGCUUUUUGGGAUUGAUUCAUGCUUGAUGAUUAUCAUAAUUAAGUACUACUCAAGCUCAUACUUGCAAUGCAUUUUCUUCUCUAAUUUUGAAGCAGCUCAGUUUAAAGAUUUCCUCCAGUCGUUCCAAACUGAAGGUAAAAUGGUUUGUGAAUGGACCACAAAGCAUUGUGUUGAAAUUCUGUUUUUCAAAUAAUCUAUUUUGGAUUGGUGGACUCAAAAACAGUUUGUAUUGAACAGCAGGGUUAGAUAUAAGUGCUGCAGUUCUGAAGAAUUUGAAAGCAUCACAAGUUGCUGGUAGAGCCAAGGAAGUAUGUAGAGAAGCCAGCCAAGUUUGCGAGUCCAAAAUGCAGCUCCCGCUUCAUCCAGCAGCCUCGUUGAAUUAGCUUACCUCUUAUGUAGUUUAGCCAAUGGCAAAACCAAAGUACUUGUCAUGUACAGUUCCUUAGUAGAGUAAAAGAGAUGUUAGCCGUGAUCUUUUCAUGGAUUGGCUGGUACUUAGAAUUUUCUUUGUUUUUGUUUGUUUAUAAAGGAUAAUCAAAAAACCUUACUUUUAUGUAAUUAAUCAUGUUGAAGAUAAAUAAAUUUUCUUUUUACCAUUCUCAA
Molecule: long non-coding RNA, 1278 nt
Organism: Rosa chinensis
Lineage: Eukaryota; Viridiplantae; Streptophyta; Magnoliopsida; Rosales; Rosaceae
Exons: 2
Source: RefSeq, a predicted model, not a curated record